RNAcentral lists this ribosomal RNA (1307 nucleotides) under Staphylococcus aureus. RNAcentral describes it as "partial 23S ribosomal RNA". It matches the Rfam family "Bacterial large subunit ribosomal RNA", at positions 1473 to 2777 of the family's 2925-position model. The record is from RNAcentral. Lineage: Bacteria; Bacillati; Bacillota; Bacilli; Caryophanales; Staphylococcaceae.
CGCAGUAGGAUAGGCGAAGCGUGCGAUUGGAUUGCACGUCUAAGCAGUAAGGCUGAGUAUUAGGCAAAUCCGGUACUCGUUAAGGCUGAGCUGUGAUGGGGAGAAGACAUUGUGUCUUCGAGUCGUUGAUUUCACACUGCCGAGAAAAGCCUCUAGAUAGAAAAUAGGUGCCCGUACCGCAAACCGACACAGGUAGUCAAGAUGAGAAUUCUAAGGUGAGCGAGCGAACUCUCGUUAAGGAACUCGGCAAAAUGACCCCGUAACUUCGGGAGAAGGGGUGCUCUUUAGGGUUAACGCCCAGAAGAGCCGCAGUGAAUAGGCCCAAGCGACUGUUUAUCAAAAACACAGGUCUCUGCUAAACCGUAAGGUGAUGUAUAGGGGCUGACGCCUGCCCGGUGCUGGAAGGUUAAGAGGAGUGGUUAGCUUCUGCGAAGCUACGAAUCGAAGCCCCAGUAAACGGCGGCCGUAACUAUAACGGUCCUAAGGUAGCGAAAUUCCUUGUCGGGUAAGUUCCGACCCGCACGAAAGGCGUAACGAUUUGGGCACUGUCUCAACGAGAGACUCGGUGAAAUCAUAGUACCUGUGAAGAUGCAGGUUACCCGCGACAGGACGGAAAGACCCCGUGGAGCUUUACUGUAGCCUGAUAUUGAAAUUCGGCACAGCUUGUACAGGAUAGGUAGGAGCCUUUGAAACGUGAGCGCUAGCUUACGUGGAGGCGCUGGUGGGAUACUACCCUAGCUGUGUUGGCUUUCUAACCCGCACCACUUAUCGUGGUGGGAGACAGUGUCAGGCGGGCAGUUUGACUGGGGCGGUCGCCUCCUAAAAGGUAACGGAGGCGCUCAAAGGUUCCCUCAGAAUGGUUGGAAAUCAUUCAUAGAGUGUAAAGGCAUAAGGGAGCUUGACUGCGAGACCUACAAGUCGAGCAGGGUCGAAAGACGGACUUAGUGAUCCGGUGGUUCCGCAUGGAAGGGCCAUCGCUCAACGGAUAAAAGCUACCCCGGGGAUAACAGGCUUAUCUCCCCCAAGAGUUCACAUCGACGGGGAGGUUUGGCACCUCGAUGUCGGCUCAUCGCAUCCUGGGGCUGUAGUCGGUCCCAAGGGUUGGGCUGUUCGCCCAUUAAAGCGGUACGCGAGCUGGGUUCAGAACGUCGUGAGACAGUUCGGUCCCUAUCCGUCGUGGGCGUAGGAAAUUUGAGAGGAGCUGUCCUUAGUACGAGAGGACCGGGAUGGACAUACCUCUGGUGUACCAGUUGUCGUGCCAACGGCAUAGCUGGGUAGCUAUGUGUGGACGGGAUAAGUGCUGAAAG